AUUGAACGCUGGCGGCAGGCCUAACACAUGCAAGUCGAACGAGUGGCGGACGGGUGAGUAAUGACUGGGAAACUGCCUGAUGGAGGGGCAUAACUACUGGAAACGGUAGCUAAUACCGCAUACCAUCGGAUGUGCCCAUAUGGGAUUAGCUAGUAGGUGGGGUAAAGGCUCACCUAGGCGACGAUCCCUAGCUGGUCUGAGAGGAGGACCAGCCAAACUGUAACUGAGACACGGUCCAGACUCCUACGGGAGGCAGCAUUGGGGAAUAUUGCACGAUGGGCGCAGGCCUGAUGCAGCCAGGCCGCGUGUAUGAAGACGGCCUUCGGGUUGUAAAGUACUUUCAGCGGGGAGGCGUUACCCGCAGAAGAAGCACCGGCUAACUCCGUGCCAGCAGCCGCGGUAAUAC
Molecule: ribosomal RNA, 406 nt
Filed under: uncultured bacterium
Lineage: Bacteria
Description: partial 16S ribosomal RNA
Rfam family: Bacterial small subunit ribosomal RNA
Source: RNAcentral